CUGCAUAUGGUUUCACAAUGAAAACCUUCUGCUGAAGAUAAACCUUGUAGCAUAGACCAUAAUAUGUUCAAUAUAAAUGUAAAAUCAUUGAUUUUCACAUUUUAAACAUAAUGUAGAUUUAUCCUAAUAAAAUAUGCUAAUAAAUCCAGAGAGGCGCGAUUGUAUAACCCGUUAAAUUUGGUAGCAACAUGUAUUGAAGUUAAUAUUGCCUUGGGAUAAUCUACAAGAAUGACAAUUAAAUAUGGUUAAUACAAUAUAUGUGAAAGAAACGAUAUGUUAAUGUAAUGGAAGUAAAUUAUAUAGCAACUCUAUAUGAUAGGUUAAUGUAUAAAAGGAAAAAUUAUCAAGUUA
This 351-nucleotide long non-coding RNA is filed under the name Olea europaea (common olive). RNAcentral's name for it is "long non-coding RNA (OEUR_LNC009299)". Lineage: Eukaryota; Viridiplantae; Streptophyta; Magnoliopsida; Lamiales; Oleaceae. The record is from RNAcentral.